GACGAACGCUGGCGGCGUGCUUAACACAUGCAAGUCGAACGGAAAGGCCCUGCUUUUGCGGGGUGCUCGAGUGGCGAACGGGUGAGUAACACGUGAGUAACCUGCCCCUGACUUUGGGAUAACUCCAGGAAACUGGGGCUAAUACCGGAUAGGAGCUCCUGCUGCAUGGUGGGGGUUGGAAAGUUUCGGCGGUUGGGGAUGGAAUCGCGGCUUAUCAGCUUGUUGGUGGGGUAGUGGCUUACCAAGGCUUUGACGGGUAGCCCGCCUGAGAGGGUGACCGGCCACAUUGGGACUGAGAUACGGCCCAGACUCCUACGGGAGGCAGCAGUGGGGAAUAUUGCGCAAUGGGCGGAAGCCUGAUGCAGCAACGCCGCGUGCGGGAUGAUGGCCUUCGGGUUGUAAACCGCUUUCGCCUGUGACGAAGCGUGAGUGACGGUAAUGGGUAAGGAAGCACCGGCUAACUACGUG
This 468-nucleotide ribosomal RNA is filed under the name uncultured bacterium. Its description in RNAcentral is "partial 16S ribosomal RNA". It matches the Rfam family "Bacterial small subunit ribosomal RNA", at positions 28 to 507 of the family's 1533-position model. The record is from RNAcentral.